This 468-nucleotide ribosomal RNA is filed under the name uncultured bacterium. RNAcentral describes it as "partial 16S ribosomal RNA". It matches the Rfam family "Bacterial small subunit ribosomal RNA", at positions 28 to 507 of the family's 1533-position model. The record is from RNAcentral.
GACGAACGCUGGCGGCGGGCUUAACACAUGCAAGUCGAACGGAAAGGCCCUGCUUUUGUGCGGUGCUCGAGUGGCGAACGGGUGAGGAACACGUGAGUAACCUGCCCUUGACUUUGGGAUAGCUUAAGGAAACGGGGGCUAAUACAGGACAGGAGAUGCUGCAGCAUGGAGGGGGUUGGAAAGUUUCGGCGGUUGGGGAUGGACUCGCGGCUUAUGAGCUAGCUGGUGGGGUAGUGGAUUACCAAGGAUAUGACGGGUAGCCGGCCGGAGAGGGUGACAGGCCGCCUUGGGACUGACAUAAGGCACAGCCUCGUACGGUAGGCAGCAGGGGGGAAUAUUGCACAAUGCGCGGAGGCCUGAUGCAGCAGCGCCGCGUGCUGGAAGGCGGCCUUCGUGUUGUAAACCACUUUCGCCUUUGACGACGCGUGAGUGACGGUAACGGGUAAAGAAGCCCCGGCUAACUACGUG